GUAGGGGGCGAGCGUUGUCCGGAUUUAUUGGGCGUAAAGAGCUCGUAGGCGGUUUGGUAAGUCACGGGUGAAAUCUCCACGCUCAACGUGGAGGCGCCCCGUGAGACUGCUAUGACUAGAGUCCGGUAGAGGAGUGUGGAAUUCCCGGUGUAGCGGUGAAAUGCGCAGAGAUCGGGAGGAACACCCGUAGCGAAGGCGGCACUCUGGGCCGGUACUGACGCUCAGGAGCGAAAGCGUGGGGAGCAAACAGGAUUAGAUACCCUGGUAGUCCACGCCGUAAACGUUGGGCACUAGGUGUGGGGCUCUAUCGACGGGCUCCGUGCCGUAGCUAACGCAUUAAGUGCCCCGCCUGGGGAGUACGGCCGCAAGGCUAAA
Molecule: ribosomal RNA, 375 nt
Filed under: uncultured bacterium
Lineage: Bacteria
Description: bacterial SSU rRNA
Rfam family: Bacterial small subunit ribosomal RNA
Source: RNAcentral